This 88-nucleotide small nucleolar RNA is filed under the name Magallana gigas (Pacific oyster). RNAcentral describes it as "Crassostrea gigas (Pacific oyster) Small nucleolar RNA SNORD14". It matches the Rfam family "Small nucleolar RNA SNORD14". Rfam says of the family: U14 small nucleolar RNA (U14 snoRNA) is required for early cleavages of eukaryotic precursor rRNAs. In yeasts, this molecule possess a stem-loop region (known as the Y-domain) which is essential for function. Lineage: Eukaryota; Metazoa; Mollusca; Bivalvia; Ostreida; Ostreidae. The record is from Rfam by way of RNAcentral.
CAGUGGUGAUGAAAAUCUUUUCUCCAUUCGCGGUUUCCACCAGAGGUACUCCGAUGAUGGACUAAUCCUUCCUUGGAUGUCUGAACUG